Molecule: long non-coding RNA, 3992 nt
Organism: Taeniopygia guttata (zebra finch)
Lineage: Eukaryota; Metazoa; Chordata; Aves; Passeriformes; Estrildidae
Source: Ensembl
GCAGCCGGCACGGAGCUCACUGGGCACCAGGCACGGAUUUCACCGGGCACCGGGCCGCCCCGGCGCGAGAACUUGGACCAGAAGAUCUGGGGGAAGUACCAAUGUGCUAAUAUUUAUAGGAUGAAAAUGACAUGUCUUGUGGAAUUGUUCAAUUUGACAGUAUCAGCCCUGGACAGAAUAAUGGAAGGGUUGGCCACACAUUAUCAGAGGGAAUGCUGACUGCCAUUAACUCUACAGCCAAUGUAUCUUUCCAAGAAAUGUAAUUUAUGCCUGUUUGGAAUACCACCAGUGGAGGACACACUCAAGCUCCACAUCAAGGGAUGCUGAGCUCCACCUGCCUUCCUUUUGCUCAGUGGGAGCACUCUUCAUCUGCUCACCUACCACAGAGCUCCUGGGCUACCUGCUGCUUUCCCUAUUUUAAGGACACAUUACCAAAUGUAUCUGUUGCAUUUACAUUCAGUGAUUCUCUUAAUUUUAUGAAUAAACAUGGAUUAUACUCAUAGCAUGGUACUCCUGAUAAACUGAGACUGCAAGUGCUGCUGUGUUGCAGAUUCUGUACUGCCUUAGUGUAUUACUCUGAACUUCAUAUAAAGUGUCAGCAAGCUCCCCUCACAGCUCAGUCACACAAAACAAUCAUUUUCCAGCCCCAAAACCAAGGACACUGGUGCAGCUUCAGCCCCAAAAAGUGCAAACAACAGGGAAUUGAGGAGAGCAACCUGGAAGGAUGGGACCUCAUAACCUGGAGCUGUAACUGGACAAUGAACCCCAAUAUGGAAAUGGACCAAAACCUAUAAAAGUGUGAGAACUCAUGACCCAGGGUCCAUCUUGGGUGUAGCCACAGCCAGGCUCUUGUACUGCCCAAAGGUGUAUUCUUUAAAGGCCUUUUAAUAAAUGCCUGCUUUAUUCCUUUCACUCUCUCCAGCCUCUGUUCUACAUCUGCCUCUCUAGGCAUCAUCUGUACAGGCCAAACUGCAGUUUGAGUUAUUGCACAGUGUGAAUUUUCUCAAAGAGUUACUGAGCAAGACAGAAGCCUUUAACUUCCACUGAGGGAAGCUGAAGUUCUGGAAGUAACCUUUACGCCUGUAUUUAGGGACCUGGUGUUUGGGGUGCUGUUCCUGCAGCUGCUUUGAUCAGCAGAUUCAAGCCUCUCAGAGCUCCAUUUGUAUUUAAGCAAUAAAGACCCUGCCUUGUUCUUCUCUCCCAAUGCACACGUUACUCACUGACUGUUUCACAGUUUCUUUGAUGACUUGAAAGCUUUCAAAAAUCUGGCUCUUCCAUUGUUUCGUCGUCACCUCUGUCUCAGUUCCCUGUCUGUAAAAUGGGAAGUUCUGCAACAUCUUCUCACAGUUUCAUCCUGCUGUUAUUUCUGCUUCCAGGAUCUCCUAACCUGGCACAGACAUCUACUCAGUCUCCAGGGAGUAUCUGGUCUAUGAGUUUGGCCUUACAGCAUCUGAGCCACGAUGUCAUCACUUUGGGGCCCCACACAUGGAUGGCAAGAGAGGAAACAGUAUAAAUUGUGCUGGCCCCUGCUUUCUUGUGGUGAGAUCUGCAGUUGCCAGAAACUUCCAGCCUUUGUUCUGGGCUGGGAAUGGGUUUCAUAAUGGGGAGGAAGGCACUUUCUAUUCUGAGAGGAGAAAGCAGCAUCAAGGAAGGUUUUAAUUUUCUGCCACCAGUGCAGAGCAGACAGUUUGCUGGCAGCUGCAAGGCUUGAUAAACAGUGCAGUCCUGAUCCAGUCUGUCACAUGGAGGGGGACUGCAGCAAUGGAGCAUGUUCUUAUCCUGUGGGAAGGGGUUCUUGCUGGAGUGAUGCCUAAAGGUUUUUGUUUUUUAUACAUUUUUCAUAAAUUUUUAGCUUUAUGGACUGUUAACACAUAGUUAUAAUUUCUAGUACUUUUUCUGCCCUCUCCCAUAGUUUAACAAACCCUUAGGAAGACAUUCUUGAAAUUCCGUUUAGUCUCAAUGUUUAUGCCUUCCCCUGCAAUCAGGCACUUUGCCUCUGGUACAGUCGCGCACCCUGAGGUCCUACCAUGAAAAUUGUCUGGUUAGUAUUUUUCAAAUGCUUUGAGGGAGGGUUCUUGUUUAUAUGCCGUUCUUACUUUUUUUAUUCCUCCCAUCUUGCUGAUGCUAGUUUUCCAUCUUGUUACCCUUAUCUGUUGUUAGUGGUUCCCAUUGCAUUUGCUAGCUCCUUUCUCUGCCUUGUUUUUGUUUUCCCAUGGUAAGUAUAAAUUUAAAUUCUGCAUCCAUUUGCAAGAGCUGCUGCUUCCUUCUGUCCCCCUUAAUUUGAUUAAUAUUUCUUUCCAUCUUUUCUGCUUAUUCAACUGGUCAUUUUGCUGAUUUUAAUAUCACCUUGCUUUUUCCUGCUGUUUCUGAAAUGUGCGUUGUAAGGAAUGGAUCUGUCUCUGGCACCUUCAUGGUCUCCCUGUCUAUGUGCUGAGCCCUUUAGCAGCUUCAAUGCUUCUAUUUGACAUUUUUCAGGUCUAAAUUGAUAACUUAUGUUGUUUGAACUGAGUCAGGUGCCAGGGGAGUGCUGCAUUGCUGCAUUUCCAUUGCUGCCUUUCCCUCUGCUCUGCUUCCUUUCAGCUUCUCUUCGGAGCAGUGCUGUGUUCAGCUUUUUGGUGUUACUGUCACCAGAUCCACCCUGCCAGGCUUUCUUUUUUCAGUUCCUGGCUCUUUCUCUUUUUCUGCUCAGACAUGGCUCACACUUCUCCACUGAUUAAUUCUCUUCAUGCUCUGAUGUUCUCUACCCUUGAUUAAUUUUCUCCGUCUCUUCCAUUAAAAUCUAAACCCCAAAAAUCCUCAGCCUUUAAAGACUUCUAGGAUCUCCUUCACCUCUUGCACUGGUUCCUCCCACUUUCACUUUGCCAUCUUCCUAAUUUAAAAUGGGAAGGUUCAAAGUUUGGCUUAUUUCCUUGUCCUUUGUUUCAGGUGGAUUUGACCUGUUUUAGCUCAUUCCUCAAACUCCUUCCUCCUCCUGUGCUCAGUUGUUUCUUUGUAAGAGCUCUCUGCUUCCUUCCCCAGGAUAAGAACAGGAAAUAACCUCUUCUUUCUCUGCUUCGUUUCAUUUUUUUCUUUCUUCUCCCCAUCAUUAAUGCAGAAAUUUCUUACCUGUUUUGUUAUUGAAAUCUCAAGUAACACACUCCAAGGACUUCAAGGCGCAGAAUUUCAAAGAAUUUAUGUGACUAAUUAUUUGCUCUAGAAGGGAAGAUGAAGUUUGUAGGUGAUGUUUGUACAACAAGUAGUGACUUUGCAGCAUGAUGGGCUCUGUAUCUCAGUCUCCAAGGCUACAGGCUACAGCAAGAAUGAAUAUAAAACCUGUGAUGCACAAAAUCACUCAGGCACAAAAUCCAGGAUGAAUGAAGAAUGUUCAGUUGCUUAAGAUCAUAUUUUGCCUUCAUUAAGGAACCACAGAACCUGGAAUGGGACAACCACCAGUACCAGUGGAGGCUGGGGAUGGAGAUAUUGAGAGCAGUCCUGCCAAGACUGGGGAUAUGAGUGGAUGGAACACUGACUGUGAGCCAGCUGUGUGUGCUGGCAGCCCAGAAAAUCCAUUGGUUCUGGGGCCAGCUCCAGGGAGCUGAUUCUUCUCUCUCUGCCCAGGUGGGACUGCCUCCAGCUCUGGGGACCAGCAGGAAGGAUGGGGAGCUGCUGGUGGGAGCCCAGAGGAGGCCAUGGAGAUGGUCCCAAGGCUGGAGCCCCUCUGCUCUGGGGACAGCCUGGGAGAGCUGGGGGAGCUCAGCCAGGAGAGGAGGGGGCUCCCAGGACACCUUGUUACAGCUUUUCUAUACUUAAAAGGAGCUUAUGAGAACAACAAAGGUACUUUUUAACCAAGGCCUGUAGUGACAGGACAUGGAAUAAUGGUUUUAACCUAAAAUAGGAUAGAUUUUGGCAUAGCAGAGAUGUGAUCACAUAAUUAAGGUUGGGGUUUUUUUGUUUGCAAUCCAUGAUAAUGUAACACUGAAUAUUCUUAUCCUUGAAAAACUCUAAUCCUUGAA